Molecule: ribosomal RNA, 249 nt
Filed under: uncultured soil bacterium
Lineage: Bacteria
Description: partial 16S ribosomal RNA
Rfam family: Bacterial small subunit ribosomal RNA
Source: RNAcentral
AGGACGAACGCUGGCGGCGUGCUUAACACAUGCAAGUCGAGCGGUAAGGCCUUUCGGGGUACACGAGCGGCGAACGGGUGAGUAACACGUGGGUGAUCUGCCCUGCACUUCGGGAUAAGCCUGGGAAACUGGGUCUAAUACCGGAUAUGACCUCCUAUCGCAUGGUGGGUGGUGGAAAGAUUUAUCGGUGCAGGAUGGGCCCGCGGCCUAUCAGCUUGUUGGUGGGUAAUGGCCUACCAAGGCGACGAC